RNAcentral lists this ribosomal RNA (250 nucleotides) under uncultured bacterium. RNAcentral's name for it is "partial 16S ribosomal RNA". It matches the Rfam family "Bacterial small subunit ribosomal RNA", at positions 524 to 773 of the family's 1533-position model. The record is from RNAcentral.
GACGGAGGGUGCAAACGUUGUUCGGAAUCACUGGGCGUAAAGGGCGCGUAGGCGGACUCGUAAGUCGGGAGUGAAAACUCGGGGCUCAACCCCGAGCCUGCUUCUGAAACUGCGAGUCUUGAGGACCGGAGAGGAAAGUGGAAUUCCUAGUGUAGCGGUGGAAUGCGUAGAUAUUAGGAAGAACACCAGUGGCGAAGGCGACUUUCUGGACGGUUCCUGACGCUGAGGCGCGAAAGCUAGGGGAGCAAAC